GACGGGGGAUGCAAGCGUUAUCCGGAAUCACUGGGCGUAAAGCGUCUGUAGGAGGUGAUGCAAGUCACUGGUGCAAAACUCUGGCUCAACCGGAGGAAAGCCAGUGAAACUGCAUGACUAGAGUGUGGGAGAGGUAGAAGGAAUUCCCGGAGUAGCGGUGAAAUGCGUAGAUACAGGGAAGAACACCGGAGGCGAAAGCGUUCUACUGGAACACAACUGACACUGAGAGAAGAAAGCUAGGGGAGCGAAGGGG
RNAcentral lists this ribosomal RNA (253 nucleotides) under uncultured bacterium. RNAcentral describes it as "partial 16S ribosomal RNA". It matches the Rfam family "Bacterial small subunit ribosomal RNA", at positions 524 to 776 of the family's 1533-position model. The record is from RNAcentral.